Molecule: ribosomal RNA, 579 nt
Filed under: Triticum aestivum (bread wheat)
Lineage: Eukaryota; Viridiplantae; Streptophyta; Magnoliopsida; Poales; Poaceae
Description: partial small subunit ribosomal RNA
Source: RNAcentral
AUGCUGCCUGUUUGCCGGCCGUCGGCGGUGUACCCGGUGGCCGUGGUCGCGCCGCCGCCGCAGGUAGGGCUAGCGGAUGCUCCCCCGCCCGAAGUGUGGACGAGGAUCCCGCAGGGGACGCCGGGGACGCUUGGCGGGGUCGGCCUCCGCCUCCUGCAGGCCCUCUUCGCUGCCGCCUCGAUCGCCGUCAUGGCGUCCACCGACAUCUUCCCCUUCUGCUCCGCCUUCAGCUACCUCAUAGCAGCUACCAGUCUGCAAUGUUUGUGGAGCAUCGCACUAGCCUUUGUGUAUAUCUAUGCACUUCUUGUCAAAUGUUCCUUGUUAAAUCUCCGAGCUGUACGCAUAUUUUUCGUUGGAGACUGGAUCACAGGGACCGUAACCUUGAGUGCAGCAUGUGCAUCGGCAGGCAUCACUAUUCUGAUUGAUAAUGAUGUGAAGUACUGCGAAGCCCUUCCUUGUUUAAGGUUGAGGACUGCUGUUACAAUGGCUUUCAUCAGCUGGUGUGCACUUGUGCCGUCCUUUCUCUUUAACUUCGCCUACACCACCACCACAUUGGCAAGAUUGGGAAUGUGGGGAUAA